GAGAUCACCAAGGUGGGCUCCCCACCCUAGGUCCAAGGCAUCGGACAUUGAGGGUCACUGACGGGGAUGGAGCUGCAAAGGGAACUCCCUCCAACCUCAAUGCAGGACUCUGCCACGAGCCCCAGGUCGUGACAGGUGGAACAAACCAUAUCGAGAUGCUGCCACAGAUGAUCCCGGGACUGGCCCUUUAUUAGCCAGUCAUCAAGGUGCUCAGCCGAAGAGUCCCCCAGGACCCAGACUGUGGAGGCGGAGGGCGGAACGGCUUCCUGGCCUAUUGAGGAGUAUGGAGGCCCAAGCAGCAGAGACUGGCACAGGAGUCUUUAAGGCCGUGGACUCAAGUCCAUGAGCUCAGAGAAGAGCCCCACCCCCUCAAAUGGGAGGUCCUGAAUAAUGGACUUAAUCUCCUGGGACAGCCCAGAGGACUGCAAAUAGGAGCUGCGCCUCAUGGCCAGUGCAGAGGCGACCACAGUGGCCGCUGAAUCAGUAGUGUCCCAGGCCAUCUGGAGGGCCCCCCUUGCCACAAUUGUGCCUUCAUUGACUAGAGCAGCGAACUCCUGGGCUGCUCCUGAAUUCAUUAAGGGAGUCCCGCAGGUUAAAACUGUACUUG
Molecule: long non-coding RNA, 607 nt
Organism: Mauremys mutica (yellowpond turtle)
Lineage: Eukaryota; Metazoa; Chordata; Testudines; Geoemydidae
Exons: 3
Source: RefSeq, a predicted model, not a curated record